UACGAAGGGGGCUAGCGUUGCUCGGAAUCACUGGGCGUAAAGCGCACGUAGGCGGCUUUCUAAGUCAGGGGUGAAAUCCUGGAGCUCAACUCCAGAACUGCCCUUGAUACUGGAAAGCUUGAGUUCGGGAGAGGUGAGUGGAACUGCGAGUGUGGAGGUGAAAUUCGUAGAUAUUCGCAAGAACACCAGUGGCGAAGGCGGCUCACUGGCCCGAUACUGACGCUGAGGCACGAAAGCGUGGGGAGCAAACAGG
Molecule: ribosomal RNA, 253 nt
Filed under: uncultured bacterium
Lineage: Bacteria
Description: partial 16S ribosomal RNA
Rfam family: Bacterial small subunit ribosomal RNA
Source: RNAcentral